Molecule: long non-coding RNA, 228 nt
Filed under: Lathyrus oleraceus (garden pea)
Lineage: Eukaryota; Viridiplantae; Streptophyta; Magnoliopsida; Fabales; Fabaceae
Description: Pisum sativum (pea) long non-coding RNA (PSAT_LNC018292)
Source: RNAcentral
GUUAGGAAGUUUGUAGAGGAACGACAAUAAUUUGACUAACCAAGUAAGAGAACUUGUAUUGAAAUAGUCGUGGAGAAAAAAUUGAAGACUCAAAGUUAUCUCCCUUUUGGUUUCUUGUUAUAAAAGGAUUUUGAUUUGUUUGUGCUUAAAUGGAUUAGAAAUGACGACCAUUUGACUAACCGAGUAAGAAAACUCGUAUUCAAAUGAUCGAGGAGAGGAGUUGAAAAC